GACCAUAGACAUAUCUAUGGAGUUGACAGCACCUUAACCUUACGUCAAACGGUAAAUUAACCUACAUUAAUGAUGAAUGAAGAAAUGAUUAUUGACCAAACAUGUAGUCAUUCUUAUACUAUUAAACCGCAUAUGGUUUUAACCGUGUACGUUAGCCUCCGGUUUACCAGAGUCGGCUAAAAGACGCUAACGCCGGUGAAUUAGCCGUUCUACCACAUCUGUCACUGGCAUCCCCUUGCUGUAAAACAAUGGGGGCUGCUGAGUUUUUGGGGGGAAAUUGGAUGUUUCUGGGUAAGCCGAAUAGAUAAGGCCGUUAUCAACCAUCGUUAUCAACACACACGGACCGUACUUCUGUCCUUCACAAUAAAAUACAGUAGCCCUACAGUAAAAAUACAGAUGGACUUUUAAGAUCCUAGCCCGAGCGUUUUUACUGCUUUCCCUCAUCAGAGUUACUUUCGUGUUGUAAUGUGACAUGUUAAUCUACAUGUGCAUAAAUGAAAUUUCCCACGUAGAUCAUUAAUUAUGUAUAAAUCUAUUGAAAUGACGCUUACCAUUAGCCGGUAGACGAUACAUACACACUGAAUACUGUCCGGUAGACGUGAGAUAUAACGUAAUAAAACUAUGACAGUGUUCUGGCUGUUCAUUCAUCCAGUUGUGAAAUGUAACUAGUACAUUUACUAGUACCGUACUUAAGUACAGCUUGUACUCAAGUGUAUCCAUAAUGUUUCUUCUAAACUUUUUUUUUUUUGUUUAGUUGUUCAGUACAAACACGCCUGCUUACACAGGUGCAGCAGUGUGUGUGAAAUGUAUUUUAUCUAUAAAGGAUGCAGAGGGUCAAUUCAAUGAAAGUUAACCAUUAAUAACGGUGUGAUGAAAAUUAUUUUGGGUCAAAAAGGGUUAAGCAUGAUGUGGAAUACAGGACUUUACUUGUAACAGGCCAGUUUUACACUGCUGUAUAGCUACUUUUAAUUAAGUAAAAUAUCUGAAUACUUCAAAAACUUCACACUUCAUUGUUAUUUAAGUCACAUGACCUGGCAAUAGCUGUGAGAUUCAGCAUCAGUUAAGGUGUUAACUCCCCACUAUGCUCUAAGCUGUGUUCCAGGGACAAAGAUGCAUAAGCUCCAACAAUACCUGCAGAAGAAGCAACACCUAACCUUUGCCUCUUCUCAGAUGAAGCAUGCCUCACAAGCUCCUGCUGAAGCUAUGGUGAUGGAUGAAGAUAUGGAGCUGGAGAGAGCGAUGCUGAGUAUCUCCCCUUCCAAGCAUCACAUGGAGAGCUCCGUUCCUGCAACAUCCUCAGCUGCCAGACCACAAGAGGCUUCAGGAACAGAAAGAGGUUCUUAACCAAAACGUCCUGUUGUCGAUAGACAACUGUGGGAAUAUGAAUCCUUAUCCCAAACUGAAGCAUGUCUUAAAUCGUUCCGUCUCAGGUUGACCACGUUCUGGUCGUGUCUGUGUUUUGGUGUUCUACUUAAGAGUCCUAGUGACUAUGAAUUGAUUCCAGUCAUGAUGAGGGUAAGUAUCAUUCCUUAUUCCCUUAUAUAAAUAAAUGCUAAAACUGCUGUGGUGACUAACACUUGAAUGCAUGUGUUUGCAGUGUGCCAUGUUGCUUCCCCUGCUCAGGCUCAAUUAUAUGACUGAAUACUGAAUAUUAAUCCAUACAAAAAAAAUGAAUGUGUGUUAAUGAAUGUUUUCUUUACAUAUUCAUGUAAGAAACCGUCUUUCACUAUAUCAAGCUGAGACAAGCAGGUGAAGCAAAUCAUGAGUGCCUUUACUAACGCCAUUUUUUGAUAAUUGCCAAAAUAUAAAUAAUUGACAAGAGUUCCUUUUGUAGUGUCAUCUGCUAGACUGUCCACACAGACUGAAGUGAAGGGUUCACAAGGAGAUGCCUCAGCUCUGCAGUAGUAAAGAGACCAGUGCCCCUGCCUAAGGAGCUGAUGUUCCUCUUACCACAAACAGAAUGUCCUCUGCCAACAAAGACAACUGUCACGGUUCCAGAGACCCUUCUGAUGCCUCCUGAGACAUCCACAGAGCCCAGUCAAGUGCUACUGCAACCACCAAUUGCACAGCAAGCUCAAAGUCAGCCUUUACCCAAGCCAUCAGCCGUCCGCAGCAUUCCUCCUCCACAGCUGGCCGUCCUCACAAUCUGAGUGACCUGACAAGAAGAAGACUGGCCCUGCUGCUGAGGAGCAUCCCCAGAGCAUGAUGCUGCCACCACCAUGUUUCACGCUGGAGUUGCUGGUGGCUCCGACUGGUGAAGAACCCGGGCAACAUAUGUUGUAUGUGCAUUCUCUCCUAUCUGAGCCACUGAGGCUUGUAACUCCUGCAGAGUGGUCCUAGGUGUCUUGGUGACUUCCCUCCCCAGUCUUCUUCUUGUCCGGUCACUCAGAUUGUGAGGACGGCCAGCUCUAGGCAGAUUUAAACAAGUUCCAUUUCUUAAUGAUGGUUUAACUGAACUCUGUGAGAUCAGUGAGCUUGACAUUUUUUGUAGCCAUCUCCUGACUUAUACUUUUCAAUUAUCUUUUCUCUGAGUUGCUAGGAGUGUUCUUUAGUCUUCAUGGUACUAUUGUAGCAGGAAUAGUGAUGGACCAGAGACUGGACCUCCCAGACACACAUGUUUUUAUACUACGAUCACUUGACACACAUCAGCUGUACUCGGGUGAUCUCCAUUUCACUAACUGUGACUCUGCUGCAUCAACUAGCUGGAACUCUGUUGAAUUAGGUCAGUUACUUUAAAGGGUAUGAAUACUGAUGCAAUCAUUUAUUUUACCUCAUAUAUUUUUAAUUAAUUGACAUUAUUUUGUAAAAAAAUCUGUUUUCACUUUGAUAUUAAAGAGUUUUUUUUGCAAAUUCUUUUUAAAAAGGCCAAAUUAUAUUGACCAUUAUUUCAUGCGUAAAAGCAACAUUUUAUAGGCAUUGUAUAUAGUUUUUUAUUUUUAUGUUUUUAUGUGCUGUGUAUGUAUGACCUUGCACUGUGGGCUCUGUCUGUUAAUAAAUAACACAUUCCAUUUA
Molecule: long non-coding RNA, 3012 nt
Organism: Centropristis striata (black sea bass)
Lineage: Eukaryota; Metazoa; Chordata; Actinopteri; Perciformes; Serranidae
Exons: 7
Source: RefSeq, a predicted model, not a curated record